UGUUUGAAGCAAAUUGCGCAA
Molecule: non-coding RNA, 21 nt
Filed under: Caenorhabditis elegans
Lineage: Eukaryota; Metazoa; Nematoda; Chromadorea; Rhabditida; Rhabditidae
Source: RNAcentral